This 253-nucleotide ribosomal RNA is filed under the name uncultured bacterium. RNAcentral's name for it is "partial 16S ribosomal RNA". It matches the Rfam family "Bacterial small subunit ribosomal RNA", at positions 524 to 776 of the family's 1533-position model. The record is from RNAcentral.
UACAGAGGGUGCAAGCGUUAAUCGGAAUUACUGGGCGUAAAGCGUGCGUAGACGGUUACAUAAGUCGGGUGUGAAAGCCCCGGGCUCAACCUGGGAAUGGCAUUCGAGACUGUGUAGCUAGGAUGCGGAAGAGGGAAGCGGAAUUUCCGGUGUAGCGGUGAAAUGCGUAGAUAUCGGAAGGAACACCAGUGGCGAAAGCGGCUUCCUGGACCAGCAUCGACGUUCAGGCACGAAAGCGUGGGGAGCAAACAGG